GACAGAGGGUGCAAACGUUGUUCGGAAUUACUGGGCAUAAAGAGCACGUAGGUGGUGCGCUAAGUCACGUGUGAAAUCCCCCGGCUCAACCGGGGAAUUGCGCGUGAUACUGGCGGACUCGAGGCGGGUAGGGGGGAGCGGAACUCCAGGUGGAGCGGUGAAAUGCGUAGAUAUCAGGAGGAACACCUGUGGUGUAGACAGCUUACUGGACCAUUUCUGACGCUGAGACACGAAAGCGUGGGUAGCAAACAGG
This 253-nucleotide ribosomal RNA is filed under the name uncultured prokaryote. Its description in RNAcentral is "partial 16S ribosomal RNA". It matches the Rfam family "Bacterial small subunit ribosomal RNA", at positions 524 to 776 of the family's 1533-position model. The record is from RNAcentral.